Molecule: transfer RNA, 65 nt
Filed under: Praticolella mexicana
Lineage: Eukaryota; Metazoa; Mollusca; Gastropoda; Stylommatophora; Polygyridae
Description: tRNA-Pro
Source: RNAcentral
UUAGAAACAGUAUUAUAGAAUAUAUCAACUUUGGGAGUUGGAGAUUGGAUUGGACCAUUUCUAAA